Protopterus annectens (West African lungfish) is the source of this 1518-nucleotide long non-coding RNA. RefSeq lists it as uncharacterized. The transcript is spliced from 3 exons. The record is from RefSeq and is a predicted model, not a curated record. Lineage: Eukaryota; Metazoa; Chordata; Ceratodontiformes; Protopteridae.
AACAUUUACAGGAAUACUUUGGGAGAAUGUCUUGAUCGGAAUAGUUACAGCGAUCCGGGCAGGUGCACUACUACAUCAUAACUACAGGGAAACAACUAUGUAGUGCGGUGCCCGACUGAUUGUAAACUAUUUACUAUUUAUGUACAGCUCACAAGACCAAGCAACGUAUGACUCUAGAUAAUGAAAAGUGCUCCGGGGGUCGUGGCUGUCGCAGUUUAAUUCGGUACGUGCGUGUCUGAUCCCAAGGCUCCAGGGAUUCCAGAAAGAGCCGCACCACUCCCCCUCCCCUGUUACUGCAGCAACUCACCCAUCCAGUUUCUCUACAACAUCAGUGCUCCUGUCCAGAGGAUAUACGAUUUACUGAAAUAAGGCGCAGUUAUGCUGGAUAUAUUUUUCUUAAUGUUUUUUGCCAUUAUCGGUCUAGUGGUCUUGUCUUACAUUAUCUAUAUCCUAUGACCAGAGAUGUUUCGGAGAGGAAGGGCGAUGUGGCUCGGAGUAAGUCCUUAUCCAACCGUGUCUUCGCUCACUUUAUUUUCUGCAAAAGUGCUGUUGGUUCGGUGUUUGUACUGGCCGCAGUUUGCAAAUAAUUCUCCUUAAUUGGGGCUGGCAAAAUUGCUUUCAACUUGCUUGUCCUUGAUUUCAAGACCAGAAAUUACAUGCUUUCUUUUGUGAGGAUGUGCAACAAUCAGCGAACUACAAAGCUGCUAUCCUUGCAGGAGUAGCCCUUCACUAGAUGACAUUCUCUUCUACUGCUGCAAGCUGUGGCGACUGCCAAACCCCGAACCUAAUACCAUGGACAGCUCCACGUCCGGCCUCAAACAACGUCCUUCCGUAAAGAGGUCACGGUCAUUGGGCACUUUUUAUUCUACAAUUGCUGGCAGAUUGAUGCAUGUGUAUCUUUAUUUUUUAAAUAAAAAGGAUAUUAUGUGAUAGGCGAACCAUUUCCACUUUCAAACAACGCCGAAGAUUAAUCGAAGGCCUGCAAAGUGAAAGGUUAGAAGAAGACAAGGUCUCCUCCUCUUUAGACUUUCUUUUCAGACCAGUAAUGGAAUGCAUACUGGGAACCUUCCCUUUGGACCUGUACCAACAUGCAUCAACUGUCUUUACACAACUUCUGCUCGUUCUGGGACAUAUUAGCUACUGAUGUCUUAUGACCGUAGGACUUUUUAUAGUUUUCCACUGGCAGCCAAGUCACAGCAUGUGGAGAAGAGAACAUGACAAACUAAAUGACAAUAACAUAGGCCCUUGUUCAGCAGAAGAAAAUAUUUUCAUCCACUUGUACUACGUACUUUUUGUAAAACAGUAUUUAAUGGAACUUUAAUCAGCAAAUUUCCUGGUCCCUGAACUGCAUGUAUGGUACUUAAUAGGAUCUGUUGUACUAUUCAAGUCUUUCUGGUUAUUAAAUGUAGCUGUCCAUUUUACUCUUCAAUGAUUACUAUGCUACCAGGAGUGCUGCUACAUUAUAUAUGAAAAUUCUCUGGUUUCAUGGCAUUACCAAUAAAUAUUAUGACUAUUAAA